RNAcentral lists this ribosomal RNA (427 nucleotides) under uncultured bacterium. Its description in RNAcentral is "bacterial SSU rRNA". It matches the Rfam family "Bacterial small subunit ribosomal RNA", at positions 355 to 775 of the family's 1533-position model. The record is from RNAcentral.
UCGAGAAUUUUUCUCAAUGGGCGCAAGCCUGAAGGAGCGACGCCGCGUGGGGGAUGAAGGGUUUCGAUCCGUAAACCCCUGUCAUUUGUGAACAAAGCUUAUUCAAUAACACUGGAUAAGUUGAUAGUAAUGAAAGAGGAAGGGACGGCUAACUCUGUGCCAGCAGCCGCGGUAAUACAGAGGUCCCGAGCGUUGUUCGGAUUCACUGGGCGUAAAGGGUGCGUAGGUGGCAUGCAAAGUUUGAUGUGAAAGCUCAGGGCUUAACCCUGAAAUGGCAUUGAAUACUGGCGUGCUGGAGGUUUGGAGGGGGGACUGGAAUUCUCGGUGUAGCAGUGAAAUGCGUAGAUAUCGAGAGGAACACCAGUGGCGAAGGCGAGUCCCUGGACAACACCUGACACUGAGGCACGAAAGCCGGGGGAGCAAACAG